Pteronotus mesoamericanus is the source of this 108-nucleotide small nucleolar RNA. RefSeq annotates it as small nucleolar RNA SNORA64/SNORA10 family. The transcript has a single exon. The record is from RefSeq and is a predicted model, not a curated record. Lineage: Eukaryota; Metazoa; Chordata; Mammalia; Chiroptera; Mormoopidae.
UGAACUUUAGAAUUGUUUUAUUUGUUUCUGUAAAAAUGUCAUUAGAUCUCCUUAGGACCUCAGGUUGACAUCACGGUGGCCACUCUUUCCUUGAGGGAUGCAAUGGGC